RNAcentral lists this unclassified non-coding RNA (518 nucleotides) under Hevea brasiliensis (rubber tree). Lineage: Eukaryota; Viridiplantae; Streptophyta; Magnoliopsida; Malpighiales; Euphorbiaceae. The record is from RNAcentral.
UUGGUUUUAUUAGCUUUCUUUGCUUUCUCUCUCUUUUUUGCCAUUUUUCCAUUUCAUUCCAGGAAUUUUAUGUUGGAAUUCUCUUUUUGUCAUGUAAUUGGGCUGUGUUUCAGUGGCGAUCAUUCCAUCGUUCUGUUCUUAUGCUCUGUUUCUUUUGUUUCAAUUUUGUUUUGGCUUUAAUCUCACAAUUGUAGGAAAAGAAACAUAUAAAUGUUUUUGCUUUUGUUUUUUGCUUGAUUUAUUGAUCAAAGCAUGCACUUAAUUCAGUAUCGAAAGUCCAAAAAUUUUCUCUGUUUUGUCAGUCUCUGUUGAAGAUGACAAUGAACGUGACAUAGUGAUUUUGAAGAGUUCAUCUUAAUUAUGAGUGCAUUUGAUGCCGUAAAUUUGAAUAAUUUUUAAUAAGUCUGGUUAGGAAUUUACUGUUGUGAGAAAUUGCCUCCCAGUUUUCUAAUUUGAUUUAUUGUCAUGCCUUGACUUUCUUAUAAUCUGAUUUUGAAGGUGUGAGGGAGAAAUACUGA